Molecule: ribosomal RNA, 254 nt
Filed under: uncultured bacterium
Lineage: Bacteria
Description: partial 16S ribosomal RNA
Rfam family: Bacterial small subunit ribosomal RNA
Source: RNAcentral
UACGGAGGGGGCAAGCGUUGUUCGGAAUUACUGGGCGUAAAGGGCGCGCAGGCGGCUGCUCAAGUCAGGCGUGAAAGGCCUGGGCUCAACCCGGGAAUUGCGCUUGAGACUGGGCUGGCUUGAGUGCGGAAGAGGAUGGUGGAAUUCCCAGUGUAGAGGUGAAAUUCGUAGAUAUUGGGAAGAACACCGGUGGCGAAGGCGGCCAUCUGGACCGCAACUGACGCUGAGGCGCGAAAGCGUGGGGAGCAAACAGG